Molecule: long non-coding RNA, 531 nt
Organism: Rosa rugosa (rugosa rose)
Lineage: Eukaryota; Viridiplantae; Streptophyta; Magnoliopsida; Rosales; Rosaceae
Exons: 3
Source: RefSeq, a predicted model, not a curated record
GGUAUCUGAUGCUUUGAUUUUAUUGAAUAUUUAACGAUUGUUUAUUGGACUAGGCGCUUUAUAAGGUUUAACUUCUACAAGCUCAGAUCUUCAGGAUAUGGAACAGAAAGCUGCAACAGAAAACUGAAAUAUGCCAAGCCCUCCUCCAAUCAUCAUCAUGGUUUUACUUUCAUUUUUUCAGUUCUUGGAGGACUUGGCAUAUAUAUCUUUUGUUUAGCAUUUUAUUAAAUUACAAUUGAUGCUGAUUUUGCAGUCAGUAAUAUGGAAGAAAGAACUUCAGGAAACGACGAACAAGAGAAGACAAAGAUUUGUUACUUGCUCAAGCAGGAACUUGGAUAGUUGAUGAUAAAAUAGCCAUCAAACCUCAGACUAAUCAACGUAUUCAUGUUCCAAACGGUGAAUUUCUGCUAUUGCUGCAUGUCUCGAUCGAACUACAGUAUCAGUUAAUUGGGUUAGUGAGUCUUUUUCUUCCUAUGUUCAAAUUAGUCAUUGUAAACUGUCUUACACCAUUGUUAUUGGUAUUUAAUCUUU